AUUGAACGCUGGCGGCAGGCUUAACACAUGCAAGUCGAGCGGGGUGAUGGUGCUUGCACUAUCACUUAGCGGCGGACGGGUGAGUAAUGUUUAGGAAUCUGCCUAUUAGUGGGGGACAACAUCUCGAAAGGGAUGCUAAUACCGCAUACGUCCUACGGGAGAAAGCAGGGGAUCACUUGUGACCUUGCGCUAAUAGAUGAGCCUAAGUCGGAUUAGCUAGUUGGUGGGGUAAAGGCCUACCAAGGCGACGAUCUGUAGCGGGUCUGAGAGGAGGAGACGCCACACUGGGCCUGAGACACGGCCCUGACUCCUACGGGAGGGAGCAGUGGGGUAUAUUGGACAAUGGGGGGAACCCUGAUCCAGCCAUGCCGCGUGUGUGAAGAAGGCAUUAUGGUUGUAAAGCACUUUAAGCGAGGAGGAGACUCUUUUGGUUAAUACCCAAGAGGAGAGGACGUUACUCGCAGAAUAAGCACCGGCUAACUCUGUGCCAGCAGCCGCCGUAA
RNAcentral lists this ribosomal RNA (503 nucleotides) under uncultured bacterium. RNAcentral's name for it is "partial 16S ribosomal RNA". It matches the Rfam family "Bacterial small subunit ribosomal RNA", at positions 30 to 523 of the family's 1533-position model. The record is from RNAcentral.